Rattus norvegicus (Norway rat) is the source of this 7269-nucleotide long non-coding RNA. RefSeq lists it as uncharacterized. The record is from RefSeq and is a predicted model, not a curated record. Lineage: Eukaryota; Metazoa; Chordata; Mammalia; Rodentia; Muridae.
CUUGAAUCAGCAAAGAUCACACUUUAGGACGAAUGCAUUCCCACCGUCCUUUAAAUAGUAGGCAUACGUGUCGGCAGAACGAAUCUUCCUCCGCAUCCUUCUUCUGGGAGGACAGUUUCUUAAGUUCAUCCUCAGGAUUGAACAUCCUAUUGAGGAACCUGGUCCUUGGGAAAGACUGAUUCUCCUCUCAUCUGCCAUUCAAUGACCACUUGUAAUUCUACCUGGAAGUGUGGGACUAUGUGGAAUUUCUGCUGUUGACAUGUCAACUGGAAUUGCUAUUUCACAGACCUUGCCCAGGCAAUCACAUCAUGAGAUUUCAUGGGCAAAUUUCUCCUGCUAUGCUCACGGGCAAAAUAAGAGACACAAGACGGAUGGGCGAAGAAGGAAAUCAGACAUGGUAUCAAUCGCCAACGCGGGGAACAAGGACAACAUCUUGUGCCUCAAGAAACUUGGCUGAAGAACCUUUUUUUACUCAAACGGAGACAGGUCCAGAACUCUGAGCAACCAUGAAAUAAACAACCAAAGCCACCUAAGGUGCCGCUUCCUUGUUUAACAUGGCGGUGUCUUGAAAAGGUAAAUCUGUCAUUUUACUGGGAAAAUGACCUGACAAAAUUAAGUACAACAAAGGAAGAAAAUCCGACAAGCGCGUGUCCCGUCCGUUACAUGUGGGUAGCUGUCACCAUGCGCUUUCAGGGUGCUGUUAAGGAAAAAUCUGCUGGAAGAAUAAUUCUCAUCUACCUUGAAGGGCAAAAAGGAUGCAAAACGCAGAGUGCGCUCUGCACACCGGAAGUGUUAAGACACUAGGCACAGGGUCUCUCAGUGAGGACAGGUCCUCUUUGGUUUUCUCUGUUCAUGUGUCUCCAACCAUAGAUACAGUAAAAUCAAUGGGACAUGCUCCUUAAUGGCUUUUUACAGAACAGACGACUUUGAUUUUCAGACCUCGAAAAGCAUUCUAGGGUGAAGGGGGUUAGGACUAGACCUACUGAUCCCGUGAUCUACCGGCUGUGAUUUUGGAAGCAGCCCCAGUGAGAAAGAAGGGGGAAGCACAUUUUAGAGGGUGUGAUCUUCGACUAAACGAAGAAAGCACAAUUAGGACGAUUUUGAGAAUGCUUUCCAAUGGAAAAUGUUUCCCUAUAGAUGAUAAAUCACAUUGCCUUUGUUUUGCAUAUUACUUUAGGGAAAUGGGGAGAAAAUCAAUUUGGAGGUGUUAGGAAAAAUGGCUCAUUAUUCAGGUUCUCUGGCUAAUGCCUUAUAGGAUGAGUUUAGGUAUUAAAACAGGCCAGUAUACUUUACGACUAAAGUAUAUAUGCUUAUGUAUGCUAUGCAAUAAAAAAUGAACAAACAAAAGUGGAGAGGGAGUAAGACGUAGGAGAAAAAGGUCUGAACAAAUGCAAGGAUAUAGAGGUACGAUUUUCAUAAUAAAACUAUUAUUUUGAAUUAUACAUAAUGAUGAUGAUGAUGAUGAUGAUGAUGAUGAUGAUGAUGAUGAUGAUGCCAGGUAAUGGUGGCACAUGCCUUUAAUCUUAGCACUUGGGGGAAGAGGCAGGCGGAUCUCUGAAUUCAAGGCCAGACUGAUCUACAAUGCAAGUUCCAGGAUGGCUACAGAGAAAAACCAUGUCUCCUAAAACAAAAUAAAACUGGUGACAGUGACAAUGACAAUGACAAUGGUGUUGAUGUUGGUGGUGGUAAUGACAAUAAAAAUAACAGAUCCAGACUGAAUUCUAGUACCCGAACAAGUUCCCAACCUGUUAUGUUUUCUGCAGUUACUCGGUGACCUGUGCCCCAGAUAUCUCAGGCAUCACAAGAUGAUGAUGAUUUUUGCAAGCUCACUUUACACCACUCUGUAAGCAUAGGAUAACAUGACCGAUGGAAAGAUGUUUGAGGAGAAAACAUUUCACAAUGAAAAAGUGUUGAUCUCACUUAGAAGAUGAGAGCCUUCCCUCUUUAACCCUAUAGUUCAGUAGAGGAUGAAAGCCAGGGCUAGCCCUCUGGAAAUGACGAGGUUUUGGUUUACAUUUCUGUCAUUAUCGGAGGUGAUAAAGGUUGAUCUGUGGACAUGAAGAUCCGUAGAUCAUGUAGACACGUACGGACUUAGGCUCCGGUUAGAGCUGGAAGAGCCUCAUUAACCACGCUCCAUUGUGUUACAGGUUCUGUAAACACGCAGGGCAGCAGCAUCAAGUACAACUCUACACUUAGUUUAACAUCUUUCCAACCAAGCCCCAGGAAGCCUCUGAGAUUUCCUUAAAUGACUGGAUUUCAUUUCAGUCAUUAGUUAACCCUGCCUAGUGGGUGACUCCAAAUCCCACCAGGCAGAAGUAAGGAGAUAUGCAUUCAAACAGUUCAAACAAGGUCUACCCUGUCAUAUAACCAUUGAGAACUGUAGGGGGCCUUUCCUUUCCCGGGGUCAGUCAAGUUGUUUAUGUGAAUAACAUACUAUCCCACAUUUAUUUGCUUUUAGACAGUUAAUGCUAUAAAGUUAUAGUAAGGAAAAGGUGCCGGCUGUCCUUCCUGUGCAUUUUCUGGGUGAGAUCAAAUGGAAAGCCUUGUUUUUAAUCCAGUUGCUAAAUGGUCAAGCUUCAUGUGGAGAAUAAGCAGGUUAUUCAACCCAGGAGGUCAGGUCACUCUUGGUGGUCAGGCUGCCUUUGAAAUUCACUAGGAUUCCUCUGCCAACACUCUCAAAUCCUUUCUUUUGCAAAUGUUUCAUUUUUACAAAUUUACAAAUACUGAUCUUUCCCUUGUCAGAAAUGUCAGGAAAAUACAUAGAGUGGCUGUAAUAAAGAGGACUUUUUUAUGAGCUGUAACAGGAAGUAUGUCAACAAAUUAAUGCCAGAGAGAGCACUGCAAUUAUUUUUUGAACAGAAUUUGGGUAGAACAUAUAAAUAUGUAUUAUAAUACCAUUCCCAAUCUCUAAGUUCUUUGGGGAGUUCCGAACAUUAGGUACUACUGAAUGAUAUCAAACACAGAUGUUCUGGGAGCAUUGAGCGUCUAUCCCAGAUGCAGUUACAGCUACCACGGUUUAGUCUUGUUUAAUAAGGCAAAUGUAUCGGUCAUGUAAUUUUACACUAAUUAAGGCGUUUCAUAUAUUACUAAAACAGAUAUAGGUAAGGCAUCAUAAAAGUCAUGCCAAUCGAAAAAUAUUUAUCUCACUUAAAAACAGUGAAUAAUUCAUAAUCAUUACCAGAAGUAUGGCAUAAAUAUGGAAAUGCCAAUGUAUGUGCAGUUAUGAACUAAGUGUGUUCAUAAUUAGCAUAAGACCUGUGGAAUUAUUUAUUCUUCCACUUAUUAUUCCAUUUAUUCUAAUUUUAUUCUUUUGUAUGAAACAAAAUGCAUGCCUAGCCUUACAGCAUUAUGUCUUACAAUGGUAUUACUUGUUGAAACUUAACAAAUAUCUCAGGAACUUACAUAUCCUCUUAACUACUCUUGGGAAUUUACCUGAUUUCCUUCAGUUGUUUUAUUUUUCAAUUGAAUUCUUUCAGAACGAACAUCAUAUAGAUAUGAGACUUUUUAUUCUUAAAAAAUAAAGUGCGCACGCGGGGGGCGGGUGGCUGGUGUAAGUAUAAGGACCAAGUGAGUGCCGUGUCCCAAUAGAAGCCAGAUGUCAUUUUGAGUCACCAGGUGUGAAUACUGAGAGCCAAAACGAAAUCUUCAGUUAGUUUAGCAACUACUGAAUCAUCUCUGCACUUAUUGGCUUUUCUUAUCAUUCCUUUUCUUUUUCUUUUAAGCAUGUGAGCAGUAGGUACCAUUUAUUAUUUGCAUCAAUGCAUAAUUCUCAACUCUUCCUGUAUGCCAGGAACUGUAUGGGGUACAUUGUAAUUUAGACAAUGAGUGAAGCAAUAGAGAAAUUCUAGAAAGUGCCAGAAAUUUAAUGUUUUAUGACAUCCCAGUGACUGGGCAUCUAACUCACUCUGUCAGAAUUAGGAGCCUUUUCUGACGUGGCAUGGGAUAAUACAGAAACUCAUUCAAAUGUGUUCAUGCCUAGAAUCUCUGUUGUGUAGGAAGCAGAAAAAAAAAGAAAGCACCCAAAGUGGCCAAACUCCACACAAACUGAGGUAAAAUGUGAGCAUUUUACUGACAGAAGGAGGAAGUCUCUGGCUGUUUAAAGUAGGAUAGCAAUAAAUUCCAAUCUGUGCCAUACCAUGGAGGGCAGACGAGGAAGAGGGAUAACAUUUGAAAUGUAAACAAAUAAAAUUAUUUAAGAAAAAAAAACUUCAAAAAAUCCUGCUAUACAGUGUGAAAGUAAACGAGCAUGGGUGUAGUCCCAUAAAACUUUAUCUAAAAAAAAAAAGCAGCUAUCAGAUUUUUUGACUCAUAGAUCAAACUUUGCAAGAAUUACCAAACAACUUAGGAGAUAAAAUUGCAAGGGAAGGGAUGGGUAGAAGUAAGGAAGAGGAAGAUAGCCAGAUUCUGACCUAGUCCACAUGUAAUGAUAAUUACCAAUGAGUAAUGCUAAACCUCCCAUGAUAAUACACAGAAUGGUCUGAAAAAGACAAUGAGAUAAUAUGUGAUUAUACAAGGAGUGAUGUCUCGAAAUGAUACUGACAAGACCCCGAGUUAGACUAGGCAUAGUGGAAUCAAAGACUGAGACACCCAUUCUAGCAGCUUCACAAGCCACUAAGCAAAUAGCCACUUUUAAUGCUGUCCCGAAGAAGAUGGCAUUUGCUUGAGCACCACUCACUCCUAUAAAUAAAUAGAGGUGUUAGGUACAAGGAAACUAUUACGAUACAUGUAGUGUUUUGAAAUGCUUACCCAAGAGUUACACAUCAGCUGAAGAGAAUGGGGGAAAAUAUGGAAACAUUUAGAGAAAGGAUGUGACUCACCGGAAGGGAGCCAAUCUGAAAACCCAGAGAAACGAAGGGAGGAGACCAUGCAGAAAUCCAGCUCGAUAGGAAAUAACGGCUUGGAGAGCAGAUGGUGUACUAUCUCAUUUGACGAGAUAAGAUGAGAGAGGGAUCAGCAUUUUAUUCUCAAAAUGUUACGUGCUUUCUGUUACAUUACUUUUCUUUGAAGAAUGGCUCUGCCUGUAAUUUGUCUUUAUUCAAGAUUUGGAUUUCAUCUUUUUUUUUAAAUAACAUCACUGCUAUAACCUCAAAGACAGAUAUUUCUCAAACCAUUCUCUCCCUCUUCCCCAACUUUUUCUCUCAUCCCACUGAUUGCUCCCAUCCUUCAUGCUUUAUAGAUAAAAGUGGAUAUAGGGCAGGGGUAUUGCAAUUAAUGUGAAAAGGUGUGGUGACUUCUAAGUAGUGUUUCUACAAGAAAUUGGCAGAUAUUUUUCGACACUGUGAGUAAAAAAUGCCUACCCAUCUCCUUCCUGGCAAGCUUGGCUCUUGAUCUUUGACAGAUCAUCAAGAGAGAGAGAGAGAGAGAGAGAGAGAGAGAGAGAGAGAGAGAGAGAGAGAGAGAGAGAGAGAGGGAGGGAGAGAGAGAGAGAGAUAUCACUUUGUAAUUCUCAGAGAACAUAACUUGGAACUUCAAGCUUUCAUUGUUCUUAGCAUCUAAUGUCCGAAUGCCCUGACUAUACCAAUGUUUACUGUAACUCCACCAAUCUCUGUUCUCUGAACACUUGGCAUCGUUAUCUUUAACGUCUAAAACUUUUGGCAUGAAAACCACCAGCAAACAAUGAAACGUUUCCUUUUCAUGUACACCGGGCUGUGUCAAUGUGCUUUAGAUCUCAAGUGCCACUCUGCAAACUGUUUGCAAAUGCUCUCCAUUUAAAGCAAUGGCACAGAUACAAAUGUCAAAAGCCAAUAACAGCAGAGCAGAUUCCGUCCCCAUCUCUCAGCUCUACCCUGAUGAGCCCUGAGUAUGUCCAGAUGUAUGUGGGCAAGGUUUCUUGUAGCUUGCCAAAAUGAAUGUGCAGACAAACAGAUGAAGGUUACGUACUAAGAGACUAUGUAUCUGUGUGUGUGUGUGUGUGUGUGUGUGUGUGUAUAAAAUUUGUGAUUUAUAUUUUCAGAGUAAAAUAAAAUAAAAUCCAAUAAGUAAAUUCAGUUUAUCUGUGUUUCAAACUGUAGUUCCUAGAUCAUUUUCUUGUUACCAUUGCUAUCUUAAUUUCUAUGAACUUCAAAAGUUCCUUCUAGUUAUCCUGUCUAUUAUACAGUAACAAGGACAUAGGCAUAACAACCUAUGCUUUCAAUGGCAUGGUUUACUUUACCAAAAUCAGGCAAAAAACCAGGGCAAGUACCAGCUUUCUACUGACUAUUUUACCAAAUGCAUUUGUAGAUGGGUCACCAUAUUAAAAACGUAAUCUAUAGGCUGGAGAGAUUGCCUAUUGAUUAAGAACACUUGCUAAGUAACCUGCAUUGAGAUUUCCAAACCCAUGUCACAGGGGUACAAGGUCUCGUGUGUGCCUAUAUCCUCAGCACCCAGCAGGAAAAAGGCAGGUAGGUUGUUGCCCGCCAACCUACCCAUAAAGCAUCAGCUCUCGGUUCAGAGAGAGAUCCUGCCUCCACAUAGUAAAAUGGGGAGUGGGAGAAGAGGGUAUCUGAGGCUUUCCUCUAGCUUCCACACACAGAUGCUCAUAUAUCAUAUACACAUGUAUCACACUCACACACACUUGUUUUGACAUGAGAGAGAAUAUCGUUAUUCAAAGAUAAAUGCAAACAAGACUAUGUGUAUUUCUAAUAUUCCAGACAUUCAUAUUUGACAUGGUUUUAUUGUCUUAAUAUGCCCUUAUAAUAAUUCUCCUAGAACAUUUCCAUAACUCUUAUUAGCUUGAUUAAAUCCAGUGAAAGGUGCUAUUUGCCCUUAGUUGUAAAACACUAUUGCUUUGUCUGAAACAAAUCCAGAGUAAACAAGAUUGUAACUUAAAAUUUUAUAGCUUCUGAUCAUCAAAUGCACUUCAGACAAUUCACAACACAAAAUUAAGCCUUGCUUUACAUAGAAAGUUUUAUCUUGUUCAAUAACUACUUAAGUCAUUUGGAGAAUAUUCAAAUAUACAUUACUCAGUCUAAAUUAUCCCAGGCUGGUAGUUGUGAGACAGCCCAAAAUCCACUCAUCCGUGCCAAUUUUAUAAAUGACAUUAAUCACUAGAGAGACACGCAUUUCUAGUGACUGUCUCUAAUGUUUAAAAACUCUUAGAAAAAUUGGUGGGUUGGUGAGUUCACAUAUAAGUAAUCCCAGCUCCUGAGAGGUAAAGAAAGGAAGAUAAAGAAUUCAAGAAUAGCUUCUUUUAUAUCAUAAGUUUUAGGCUGGACAACCGUGUAAAAAGCCUUUUAAGCAUAGACACACACACACACACACACACACAAAACAUAAAAAAUAACAAAGUGA